AUUGAACGCUGGCGGCAGGCCUAACACAUGCAAGUCGAACGGUAACAGGAAGAAGCUUGCUUCUUUGCUGACGAGUGGCGGACGGGUGAGUAAUGUCUGGGAAACUGCCUGAUGGAGGGGGAUAACUACUGGAAACGGUAGCUAAUACCGCAUAAUGUCGCAAGACCAAAGAGGGGGACCUUCGGGCCUCUUGCCAUCGGAUGUGCCCAGAUGGGAUUAGUUAGUAGGUGGGGUAACGGCUCACCUAGGCGACGAUCCCUAGCUGGUCUGAGAGGAUGACCAGCCACACUGGAACUGAGACACGGUCCAGACUCCUACGGGAGGCAGCAGUGGGGAAUAUUGCACAAUGGGCGCAAGCCUGAUGCAGCUAUGCCGCGUGUAUGAAGAAGGCCUUCGGGUUGUAAAGUACUUUCAGCGGGGAGGAAGGGAGUAAAGUUAAUACCUUUGCUCAUUGACGUUACCCGCAGAAGAAGCACCGGCUAACUCCGUG
RNAcentral lists this ribosomal RNA (490 nucleotides) under uncultured bacterium. RNAcentral's name for it is "partial 16S ribosomal RNA". It matches the Rfam family "Bacterial small subunit ribosomal RNA", at positions 30 to 507 of the family's 1533-position model. The record is from RNAcentral.